ACGGGUGAGUAACGCGUGGGAACAUGCCCUUCAGUUCGGAAUAACCCAGGGAAACUUGGGCUAAUACCGGAUACGUGCGAGAGCAGAAAGAUUUAUCGCUGAAGGAGUGGCCCGCGUCUGAUUAGCUGGUUGGUGAGGUAAAGGCUCACCAAGGCGACGAUCAGUAGCUGGUCUGAGAGGAUGAUCAGCCACACUGGGACUGAGACACGGCCCAG
RNAcentral lists this ribosomal RNA (215 nucleotides) under uncultured bacterium. Its description in RNAcentral is "partial 16S ribosomal RNA". It matches the Rfam family "Bacterial small subunit ribosomal RNA", at positions 102 to 334 of the family's 1533-position model. The record is from RNAcentral.